RNAcentral lists this ribosomal RNA (377 nucleotides) under uncultured bacterium. RNAcentral's name for it is "bacterial SSU rRNA". It matches the Rfam family "Bacterial small subunit ribosomal RNA", at positions 523 to 898 of the family's 1533-position model. The record is from RNAcentral.
AUACGUAGGUGGCGAGCGUUGUCCGGAAUUACUGGGUGUAAAGGGUGCGUAGGCGGAUUUACAAGUCAGGUGUGAAAACUAUCGGCUCAACCGGUAGCCUGCACUUGAAACUGUAAGUCUUGAGUGGUGAAGAGGUAAGCGGAAUUCCUAGUGUAGCGGUGAAAUGCGUAGAUAUUAGGAGGAACACCAGUGGCGAAGGCGGCUUACUGGGCACUAACUGACGCUGAGGCACGAAAGCAUGGGGAGCAAACAGGAUUAGAUACCCUGGUAGUCCAUGCCGUAAACGACGAUUACUAGGUGUAGGGGGUAUCGACCCCCCCUGUGCCGCAGUUAACACAAUAAGUAAUCCACCUGGGGAGUACGGCCGCAAGGUUGAA